ACAGGGACCAAUUUUGUAGUUUUGUGUCACACCCCGACCGAUGGCGGAAUCAACAGGGUUGCGACAUGAAACGUUGGUUUAUAGUUAACAACAUACAUCGAAUAUUACAGGGUUCAAAUAACAUUACAUUGUUCCAAAGUAUGAAAAGAAGAAAUACAUUGUUUAAUAAAUCCCAAACGAAGACCAAUACAUAUUGAAAGUUCUAUAAAGCAUAUAUCAAGAGGACCGGUUAUUCGGUCAAUAGUUUAUUUAAGGAGAAAUAUUCUCCUUACCCUGUAGGCAUUCCUCCAGCUUUUAAGUUCCUGAAGAUACAUACGUUUUAAAAAUACGUCAACAAAAAUGUUGGUGAGUUUUAUAGGUUUAGACACCAAGGGUUUAUAAUCAAAAAUACAUUUGUGACCUUUUAAGAUUAUAAGUAUGUAUUUAGUCCGCACUUGUAAUCUCAUACAAGUAAAAUAGUUUGGUUCAUUGUUCAUAACAAAGAAAUCAUGAGUCGUGAGUAUCGAGUUGAAAAUAUUAUAAAUACGAAUUAUAUAUAAUAAUGUUUUCAACAUGUAUCCCUUUUUUUCAAAAGUUUCUUUUUAACGAUAAAACUUCUAGAUUAAAAUUUAUGGGUUCUAGUAUGAGCCUAUAACCGAACUAUGGACGCGCAAUCCUCUGUAAAGCAGUACGGUGAGCAGAUGUAUUGUGACCAUCAUGACGCUUCAUCGACGUCGUGAAAUAUAUAAGUGAUUGAACGAUUACGCCCGUUUUGACUCGUUAGACGAUGGUUGUAGCUAGCAACUGUAGGCUGAGCUGUCAACCCAUAUAGAUCUAUACCAAUGUUCCACGUUCCUUUCGGAUUAACGGUUAUAACACAGAGGGUUUUGUACUAACUUUUUGAAUUCUUAGCGAUGAAGUGUUUCUCAUACAGAAUAUCCUUAAAUUGUUAAGUCUAUGAUUUUUGUCGUCAUUUGCAUUCCAAGCCUUAAAAACACUUGUAUUUCUUUGUCGUCACAUUCUAAUAUAUGUAGUUGUACAUACAAUAUUAUACUUAUACUUUUAUGAGUAUGUAAAUAUGUAUGUAUAUAUUAUUGAAGGCAUAAAAAUAUUACUUCUAUCAUGUGUUUCUUUCAAGUGCUAAUAAUCUUUUUAUAAGUUUUCUUUUUAUAUAAAAUAACUUAUUUUAUAUAAACAAUCAUAUUCUAUAAAACUACUCAUUUUUAUAAAAUAUUACAAGAUCUCCUUAUAAGCUCCAUUUUUAUAUAAAAUGUCAUUUUUAUAUAAAAAUUAUCAUAUUUUAUAAAAACUACUUAUUUUUAUAAAAUGUUAUGAGACCAUUUUUAUCAAUUCCCUUUUAUAUGAAAUAUCAAUUUUAUAUAAAAGUAAUUAUAUACAACUCAUUAUUUUCAAAUAUACAUAACAUUAAUCUAGUUAAAUCCUUAUGUAUAUGUAAAUUUAGUUAUAUCUUAUUAUAUUUACAUUUUUGAUAUUGCUAGUAAUUAUAUUAACAAAUUAGGUGCUAAUUCCAUAUUUUUCUUGUAUUAUCCUACUAGAGACCAUUAUAAGACUAAUGUUUAGCUUUAAAUAUACUAUGUAUAGACUUGUGGCACAAGGAUAAUGCUCAAGAACAUAUAUUUAUAUCUACGAAUAAUAACUUUAUACGAAUGUUUUAUUACUUCAUAAUAUAAUAUGAAAAUUAGUUUUAUAAUACACGUAACAAUUUCACAUAUUCAUUUGCAGGUUAAUUCAAAAUAACUAAAGUGUUGUAUGCUAACCCAUUAUAAAUAAAGUUAAGUAUGUAUCAUGUAAUGAUAAUAAAAUUUCAAGUUUAGCAUGCAAGAGAUUAGACCUGACAAUUUCAGACACGAAGACAUGAAUCUGUGAGAGACACGACACGACACGAAUCCAUUUUAAAAAUUGAGAUAAAGCUUAUUUCUCAUCGUGUAAUAGUAUAGUGUCAAAUUCAUGGCUGACACGAAUACACGAAUUGUCAGGUCUUCAAGAGAUGUAUGUAUCUCCCCCCAAAUUUUUAUAAAACUUAAAGAAAUUGGGGCCAUAAAGACUCACUUUCGUUGCGUGUUUUGUUUCAUUUUUUAGGAGUGUUUCGUAGUGAAAUACUGAAAUGCAAGGGAUGAUCCGGGGCUGUUUUGGUGACCUUUUAACGUGGGAAUUCUUCCUAUUUUUCAGCUUGUUGAAGGAGGAAGAAACCGAAAAUCAGCAAGGCUGUUUACCGGUGGUAGUGGGUGGCGAUAGGGUUGUUUUCCGGCAGCCUCUCGUUGCUUUAUGCUGGUUGUCGCGACAUGUAACAAGCAAGGAGGGCAGCAGCGGUUUUGGCGGCGUCCAAAGAUGUUUUUGGGUUGUUUGGUUGCUGGAACAGGAAGGUGUAAUACAAAGGUGUUGCACUCUUUUCUUUUUUGCUGGAAUAUUCGGAUGUGUGCCUUCAAAUGGGUGUUCUUUGGGGUGAUCACAAAUCAAAAAAAAAAAAAAAAAGGCAAAGGAAUGAGAUGUUUACGUGGGUUAUGGUUACACAAAUGAGGAAAAGUAUUGGGAUUAUAUAGGCUUUUGGAUUCCAUCAACUUGAUCUAUUGUGUGAGGGUGUGGUUGCAUAAUUGAGGUCAUAUGCACAUACUCAAUAGAAAAUGAAAAAAAGCAGGGGAACUAUUUUUCAUGAUGAUCAUGGCAUUUAAGGACACAAUGUACACAACCUUUAAUGGUGAUUUAAGAUGUGAGCAUUGCUUGGAUUUGACAAUGCAUCUAUGUACACUCUUAAAUGAUAGCAAU
RNAcentral lists this long non-coding RNA (2763 nucleotides) under Lactuca sativa (garden lettuce). Its description in RNAcentral is "long non-coding RNA (LSAT_LNC006748)". The record is from RNAcentral. Lineage: Eukaryota; Viridiplantae; Streptophyta; Magnoliopsida; Asterales; Asteraceae.